This is a long non-coding RNA of Pseudophryne corroboree (corroboree frog), 467 nucleotides long. RefSeq lists it as uncharacterized. NCBI's taxonomy places the organism in Eukaryota, Metazoa, Chordata, Amphibia, Anura, Myobatrachidae. The transcript has 3 exons. The record is from RefSeq and is a predicted model, not a curated record.
GACAGUUAACUGCUGGGACCGUUGGCAGUUGGGCGGCAGCCAUCUUAAGAGAGAGUGAUGGAGAGAGUGUGUGGGGAGAUACUGUACAACUGACCUGUUUCUGGCUACCAGAGUUAGAAAAGUUACAUCCGGAGAGCAGUCUGAGACGCCAUGAGCACAACCACAGCGUCUGGUAACAGCGGCUGGCAAGCAAUGGACAGGGGCAGAGCACAGGCAGAGACCCCCUUGCUGGAGCUGGCCUAGGGGGUAUGGUGAUGCAGUUCCCUACACCCAGCGGAGGCCGAUCACUAGGCGACGCCUUACCUGUGACAGACAUUUGGUGGACGGCACCCUGAGAAAAAGACCCUUCCUUCAGUAAAGGGAAUUUGACGCAGACUAAAAGUUUUCAGUAAAGGAUUGGAGAUACAGCAAAGAAAUCAAGCAAACAGGGUGAGAAGAAAAGGUAACCUCUGACAGCGACGGGUUGU